RNAcentral lists this ribosomal RNA (300 nucleotides) under Belonogaster somereni. Its description in RNAcentral is "partial 16S ribosomal RNA". The record is from RNAcentral. Lineage: Eukaryota; Metazoa; Arthropoda; Insecta; Hymenoptera; Vespidae.
AAAAUAAAUAGUUUUUUAAUUGAAAACUAGAAUGAAAGAAUUAAUAAAAUAUAAAUUGUCUCAAACUUAAUUAUAUUAAAUUUAAAUAAAAAGUUAAAAUGCUUUUAUUAUUUAAUAAGACGAGAAGACCCUAAGAAUUUUAUAAAUUAAUAAUUAAAGUUAUUAUUAUGAAUAUUAUUUUUUUUAUUGAUAUUUAUUUUAUUGGGAGGAUAAUUAAAUUUUUAAAACUUUAAUUAUUUAUAAACAUUGAUAAUUGAAUUUAAAUGAUAAUUUUUAUAGUUAUAAGUAAUAAUUACCUUA